GCUUUCUCCAGCCUCCCUGCAGAACUCCACCACGUCUUUACACCGUGUCUCUGAAGUGAUGGGAACUUCGGUUAGAACCUGCUCGCUGGAGCUCCGAAACACGGGGAUGAAGAUCUGUGGAAGGAAGUGAAGUGAGCGGGGUUGAGCUCAUCGAAGGUCUUCCUGAUCUCUCGUCGUCUUCCAGCGAUGUUCUUCCGCUCUUGAACCGCACGUGCUGCUCGAACAACUCGUACGUCAAAUAAAGUCUAAAAACAAGCAUUUCCUGAAGACUAUGAAGCCCACGCUGAUAAGAUCAUCCAACCCGACGUUCAGGCGUGAUUUAGGGCACUGAGAGGAGCUCAGGCUGCGUCACACUGACGAUCUCGAAUUUACAAAGGAGUUACAUAACAGCUCCCAAAAGAACUGUUUUUUUUUUUUUUUUUUAAGAUCCCCGCUGGGGUGUUUCAUAGAAAGGCUUCACACACACACACACACACACACACACACACACACACACACACAAUAAUGCACACA
Long non-coding RNA from Silurus meridionalis, 513 nucleotides. RefSeq lists it as uncharacterized. The record is from RefSeq and is a predicted model, not a curated record. Lineage: Eukaryota; Metazoa; Chordata; Actinopteri; Siluriformes; Siluridae. The transcript is spliced from 3 exons.